RNAcentral lists this unclassified non-coding RNA (348 nucleotides) under soil metagenome. RNAcentral's name for it is "partial contains 5.8S ribosomal RNA, internal transcribed spacer 2, and large subunit ribosomal RNA". The stretch from base 1 to 120 matches the Rfam family "5.8S ribosomal RNA", at positions 35 to 154 of the family's 154-position model. The record is from RNAcentral.
GAUGAAGAACGCAGCGAAAUGCGAUAAGUAAUGUGAAUUGCAGAAUUCAGUGAAUCAUCGAAUCUUUGAACGCACAUUGCGCCCGCCAGUAUUCUGGCGGGCAUGCCUGUCUGAGCGUCAUUUCAACCCUCAUGCCCCUAGGGCGUGGUGUUGGGGAUCGGCCAAAGCCCGCGAGGGACGGCCGGCCCCUAAAUCUAGUGGCGGACCCGUCUUGGCCUCCUCUGCGAAGUAGUGAUAUUCCGCAUCGGAGAGCGAUGAGCCCCUGCCGUUAAACCCCCAACUUUCCAAGGUUGACCUCAGAUCAGGUAGGAAUACCCGCUGAACUUAAGCAUAUCAAUAAGCGGAGGA